RNAcentral lists this ribosomal RNA (253 nucleotides) under uncultured bacterium. RNAcentral describes it as "partial 16S ribosomal RNA". It matches the Rfam family "Bacterial small subunit ribosomal RNA", at positions 524 to 776 of the family's 1533-position model. The record is from RNAcentral.
UACGGAGGAUGCAAGCGUUAUCCGGAAUGAUUGGGCGUAAAGAGUCCGUAGGUGGUUAUUCAAGUCGAUUGUUAAAGAGCGGGGCUCAACCCCGUAGAAGCAGUGGAAACUGAAUAACUAGAGAGAGGUAGGGGUAGAGGGAAUUCCCGGUGUAGCGGUGAAAUGCGUAGAGAUCGGGAAGAACACCAGUGGCGAAAGCGCUCUACUGGGCCUCAUCUGACACUGAGGGACGAAAGCUAGGGGAGCGAAAGGG